Molecule: long non-coding RNA, 450 nt
Filed under: Ananas comosus (pineapple)
Lineage: Eukaryota; Viridiplantae; Streptophyta; Magnoliopsida; Poales; Bromeliaceae
Description: long non-coding RNA (ACOM_LNC019711)
Source: RNAcentral
CAUAAUGCAAUCUAAGUCUUUUGAACUUAUUAUAAUUAAAUAUCUUUACCACAAAUGAUCUAUUCUUCAUACCUGAGGUGCCGAGCUUUCCAAAAUGAGUCUUUGUUCUUUAAAUUGAAUCUUUUCUUCAAACUUCCACAAUCAACUCUUCAAGACUUCAUUCGACUUUACGAAAUCCGCCAACCUAGAAAAUCCUUAACAAUCUCCUCCUUUGACGAUUUCAUGACAAAACAUAUUACAAUGCUCGUACACAACUCAGAAACAAUAAAAAGAAGAUCAUCGCAAUCACCAAACGACAAUCUCCUGCAUGAUCGAUCCAAUAAAAGAAAAAUUACACUUUUCUCACAUUCCUAAUACAAACUCUAUGACUUAAACAUGGAGUCUUGAAGUCUUGAACAUUCCUGCAAAAACAUUCUUAAAGCACAAUCAAGAUUCAAGAAUACUUAUCAU